UACGUAGGUGGCAAGCGUUGUCCGGAUUUACUGGGCGUAAAGGGAGCGUAGGCGGAUUUUUAAGUGGGAUGUGAAAUACCCGGGCUCAACCUGGGUGCUGCAUUCCAAACUGGGAAUCUAGAGUACAGGAGGGGAGAGUGGAAUUCCUAGUGUAGCGGUGAAAUGCGUAGAGAUUAGGAAGAACACCAGUGGCGAAGGCGACUCUCUGGACUGUAACUGACGCUGAGGCUCGAAAGCGUGGGGAGCAAACAGG
RNAcentral lists this ribosomal RNA (253 nucleotides) under uncultured bacterium. Its description in RNAcentral is "partial 16S ribosomal RNA". It matches the Rfam family "Bacterial small subunit ribosomal RNA", at positions 524 to 776 of the family's 1533-position model. The record is from RNAcentral.